This is a long non-coding RNA of Homarus americanus (American lobster), 1419 nucleotides long. RefSeq lists it as uncharacterized. The record is from RefSeq and is a predicted model, not a curated record. NCBI's taxonomy places the organism in Eukaryota, Metazoa, Arthropoda, Malacostraca, Decapoda, Nephropidae. The transcript has 3 exons.
UGGUGAGGGUGACAGUGGGUUGAUGACGGUGGGGGUGGUGAGGGUAUUGUGACUAGUAAUGGAAAGACAGACUGAGGUAGCAUUGUGUUGUCAUGGCUACUUGUACCCUGCGUGUGAUAGCGCAUAUCUGAUAACAGUAAUGGUGUCUACACUCUAGGUUGAUGCAAUAUUAGGUUAUAUUAGUUAACGUUUUAUUACGUAAAAUUUUAAAUUUAGGUUAUGUUAGGUUAACUUUAUAUUGUUAAUGUUAUAGUUAAUUAUAUGUCAAGUUUGAGGUCUAGUUUGUUUACUGGUAAACUAGUCAUUUAUACUGCUUCCCAUUUGUGUAUGGUCAGUUCUUAAAAUAUGGACUAAUUUUCUUACACAAUAACGUCUCCAGUCCCUAAAACUCAUUCCCAUCACAACUUGUAGCACGGUCUAUAGGUAGACUUCCAGUGUUAUUCUUUGGUUGAUGGAGAAGAUUCGACAGGUAGUUUGGCCACCGUUUUUGCAACACUUAUGAUGUAUUGGAUAACUAUGAACACAAGUCAGGUGUACUGCAUCAUUACUGUUGUAAACAGAAACCAAUAUAAACCAUCUUGUCUCAUUUAGUGGUUUUCUUCCAGCUCAGACAACUUGUGAAUAACAAGAGCCAAGGCAAGCUGCAAGUUUCUACGAGUGCACCUUCCGGGCACCUCCACUGUACAGUAGAGUUACAGUUGUCACUGUAGAAGGUGUAGUGCUGUAUAUCACGUCAGAUGUCAUCCUCCCCUUAAUUGUCAUGUUUGUGAGCCACACUGGAGUCUUCCAGGAUGCACCCUCCCAGUCUCAGCUGACACAAGACAGGUGAAGAUAUGCUGGGUUUUGCUGUAACCUCUACUUUUGGCUGAGGUACAUAGGGAUUUUUCUGACACCCUUUAUAUCUACAAUGACCAUCACUCCAGCUAUGUGGCAACAGAGAGUAUGGAAACCUUACAAUGGUUACUUCGCCAUGACAAGACCACUACAGCGGCAUCAUUGUGACCUGCAAUCCUCUGGCAUCCAGCACACACACACCACAACAGCAUUUAUGUGUAAGGAUGACAAACACCUGCCAUCCACCCCUCACGUGUAUGGGUGACCACCACCUGCCGUUCAAACACUCACGUGUAUGGGUGACCACCACCUGCCAUCCACCCCUCACGUGUAUGGGUGACCACCACCUGCCAUCCACCCCUCAAGUGUAUGGAUGACCACCACCUGCCAUCCACCCCUCAUGUGUACGGAUGACCACCAUCUGCCAUCGACCCCUCAUCAUCAACGCAGGUAUGUGAUGCAUCAAUAAGGUGUGGAAGAAGAUACCCUGAUAUCAAUCCAAAGGAUCUGUUUUUUGUGGUUUGUACGAUGCUUGUUGUUCAGUAUGGGGUGGCAUCUGGUGACUUGUGCGGAGGGGGAGGGAGA